This 301-nucleotide long non-coding RNA is filed under the name Hordeum vulgare. RNAcentral describes it as "long non-coding RNA (HVUL_LNC009061)". Lineage: Eukaryota; Viridiplantae; Streptophyta; Magnoliopsida; Poales; Poaceae. The record is from RNAcentral.
GUAAUCUUCUUUUGCGGUGUCUCUGUCGAGAUUCGAUGAAUUGUGGAUUUAUGAUUAGAUUAUCUAUGAAUCUUAUUUGAGUUUCUUCUGAUCUCUCUUAUGCAUGAUUUCAUAUCCUUGUAAUUCUCUUCGAGUUAUGGGUUUUGUUUGGCCAACAAGAUCUAUGAUUCUUGCAAUGGGAGAAGUGCUUGGUUUUGGGUUCAUACUGUGCGAUGACCUCACCCAGUGACAAAAGGGGUAGCGAGGCACGCAUCAUGUUGUUGCCAUCAAGGGUAAGAAGAUAGGGUUUUCAUCAUUGGUU